This 222-nucleotide long non-coding RNA is filed under the name Nicotiana benthamiana. RNAcentral describes it as "long non-coding RNA (NBEN_LNC032654)". Lineage: Eukaryota; Viridiplantae; Streptophyta; Magnoliopsida; Solanales; Solanaceae. The record is from RNAcentral.
UUUUUCUUCCGGAUCGGAGGUCAAACGGAGUCCGUUCGUCCUCAAAUUUUAGUAUGUUGUUCAUGAGACUCUCCUCUACAAGUACACGAAACAGUUUUUCAUUUUGAGUCCCGGAAGGUCGGUUUUUGCUGCGUUUUUUACAGCCCUGCGAUUUUGGUAUUUUUCUCUAUUUUGGUGAAAUUGUUGGCUGUUGGUUGUUGUUUGAUGAUUGUAUUUGCNNNN